RNAcentral lists this ribosomal RNA (255 nucleotides) under uncultured bacterium. RNAcentral's name for it is "partial 16S ribosomal RNA". It matches the Rfam family "Bacterial small subunit ribosomal RNA", at positions 524 to 776 of the family's 1533-position model. The record is from RNAcentral.
UACGAAGGGAGCUAGCGUUGUUCGGAAUUACUGGGCGUAAAGGGCGCGUAGGCGGCUUCGCUAGUUGGGCGUGAAAUGCCUGGGCUUAACCCAGGAAUUGCGCCCAAUACUUCGAGGCUCGAGUGUGGGAGAGGAUAGUGGAAUUCCCAGUGUAGAGGUGAAAUUCGUAGAUAUCAGGAGGAACACCAGUGGCGAAGGCGGCUUUCUGGACGGUAACUGACGCUGAGGAGCGAAAGGCGUGGGGAGCAAAACAGG